AGCCUUCUCGGUGGGAGAGGAUGAACUGCCAUGUCUAAGAGAAAGACUUGCCCCCGAAUUUGUAGGUCUGUAACUGACCAAGUUUUGUAAUUAUUAACAGGUAUUUGCCAAGUCCUAAUUGCUGAAUAUAAUGAAUUGGAACUAGAUGCGAAAAUAGAGCAGGACCUCUCCCCUUGAUGAGUUUUUAUUCCAGCCAUAUAAUUCUCAAUAAAACUUUUCCUGGGCUGGAUAGCAAAGGACACCUUUGGUUACCUGAAUGAACAGUUUUGGCCAGAAAUGGUGAGAAGAAAAAGCAUGAAGAAGCCGCGAAGUGUGGGGGAGAAAAAGGUGGAAGCGAAGAAACAGCUCCCGGAGCAAACUGUACAAAAACCUCGCCAAGAGUGUCGGGAGGCAGGACCGUUAUUCCUGCAGAGCAGGAGAGAGACGAGAGACCCUGAAACACGCGCCACCUAUCUUUGUGGGGAGGGAUAAUUGAAGCGCCCUGAGCGUACCAGAGCCAGAAAAAAAAAUGCUGCAUGGGAGCUGCAUCUUAGGGCAUGUGUAUUAGGGUGUGUGCAUGAUGAAUUUCUGGACUGGAUCCCAAUAUUAAAAAGUAGUUUGGCAUUUUAAUAAAGGGUCUCUAAGUAAAUUAAA
This 633-nucleotide long non-coding RNA is filed under the name Homo sapiens (human). RNAcentral describes it as "non-protein coding ZEB2-AS1:31". The stretch from base 204 to 264 matches the Rfam family "ZEB2 antisense RNA 1 conserved region 2". The record is from RNAcentral. Lineage: Eukaryota; Metazoa; Chordata; Mammalia; Primates; Hominidae.